This 434-nucleotide ribosomal RNA is filed under the name uncultured bacterium. RNAcentral describes it as "partial 16S ribosomal RNA". It matches the Rfam family "Bacterial small subunit ribosomal RNA", at positions 29 to 507 of the family's 1533-position model. The record is from RNAcentral.
AGCGAACGCUGGCGGCAGGCCUAACACAUGCAAGUCGAACGAACCUUUCGGGGUUAGUGGCGGACGGGGGAGUAACACGUGGGAACGUGCCUUUAGGUUCGGAAUAACUCAGGGAAACUUGUGCUAAUACCGAAUGUGCCCUUCGGGGGAAAGAUUUAUCGCCUUUAGAGCGGCCCGCGUCUGAUUAGCUAGUUGGUUGAGGUAAUGGCUAACCAAGGCGACGAUCAGUAGCUGGUCUGAGAGGAUGAUCAGCCACAUUGGGCCUGAGACACGGCCCAAACUCCUACGGGAGGCAGCAGUGGGGAAUCUGGCGCAAUGGGCGAAAGCCUGACGCAGCCAUGCCGCGUGAAUGAUGAAGGUUUUAGGAGUGUAAAAUUCUUUCACCGGGGACGAUAAUGACGGUACCCGGAGAAGAAGCCCCGGCUAACUUCGUG